Molecule: ribosomal RNA, 253 nt
Filed under: uncultured bacterium
Lineage: Bacteria
Description: partial 16S ribosomal RNA
Rfam family: Bacterial small subunit ribosomal RNA
Source: RNAcentral
UACGGAGGGUCCAAGCGUUAUCCGGAAUCAUUGGGUUUAAAGGGUCCGUAGGCGGUUUUGUAAGUCAGUGGUGAAAGCCCAUCGCUCAACGGUGGAACGGCCAUUGAUACUGCAAGACUUGAAUUAUUAGGAAGCAACUAGAAUAUGUAGUGUAGCGGUGAAAUGCUUAGAGAUUACAUGGAAUACCAAUUGCGAAGGCAGGUUGCUACUAAUGGAUUGACGCUGAUGGACGAAAGCGUGGGGAGCGAACAGG